This 172-nucleotide ribosomal RNA is filed under the name uncultured soil bacterium. RNAcentral describes it as "partial 16S ribosomal RNA". It matches the Rfam family "Bacterial small subunit ribosomal RNA", at positions 335 to 524 of the family's 1533-position model. The record is from RNAcentral.
ACUCCUACGGGAGGCAGCAGUGGGGAAUCUUGCGCAAUGGGCGAAAGCCUGACGCAGCCAUGCCGCGUGAAUGAUGAAGGUCUUACGAUUGUAAAAUUCUUUCACCGGGGACGAUAAUGACGGUACCCGGAGAAGAAGCCCCGGCUAACUUCGUGCCAGCAGCCGCGGUAAU